RNAcentral lists this ribosomal RNA (433 nucleotides) under uncultured bacterium. RNAcentral's name for it is "partial 16S ribosomal RNA". It matches the Rfam family "Bacterial small subunit ribosomal RNA", at positions 29 to 507 of the family's 1533-position model. The record is from RNAcentral.
AACGAACGCUGGCGGCAUGCCUAACACAUGCAAGUCGAACGAAACCUUCGGGUCUAUUUGCGCACGUGGGCUUAACACCUGGGAACCUGCCCUUAGGUUCCGAAUCCCUCCCCGAAAGGGGUCCUCAUACCGGAUAAUGUCUUAGCACCAAAGAUUUAUCGCGUUUGGAUGGGCCUGUGUUGGAUUAGCGAGUUGGUAGGGUAAAAGCAUACCAAGGAGACGAUGCAUAGCUGGUCUGAGAGGAGGAUCAGCCACACUGGGAAUAAGACACGGGCCAGAAUCCUACGGGAGGCAGCAGUGUGUAAUAUUGGACAAUGGGCGAAAGCCUGAUCAAGCAAUGCGGCGUGAGUGAUGAAGGCCUUAGGGUUGUAAAGCUCUUUUACACGGGAUGAUAAUGACAGUACCGGGAGAAUAAGCUCCGGCUAACUCCGUG